GGGGCUGACUUGGAUUUCGACAGAUUUCUUGUCGCACAGAUAGCAUGCCAAGUGCUGCUUGUAAAACAGCAACAAAAAUAACUGUAAACAACGCAGAUUACGCUCCAGCUUACGCUAAAGUUGCGUGAGUUAAUCUCCUUUUGGAGCUGGACUGAUUAGAAUUUCUAGCGUUUUAAUCACUCCAUAACCUUAAGCUAGACGCUUUUAAAAGGUGGUUCGCCUUUUAAACUAAGAAAAAGAACUCUUGAAACUAUCUCAAGGUUUUAGAAAGUUGGACCAGAGCUAGUUUUAAGGCUAAAAAACUAACCAAUUUUCUAAGCAUUGUAGAAGUUUGUGUUUAGGACAAGAUUUUUGGACUGGGGUUCGAUUCCCCACAGCUCCACCA
Molecule: transfer-messenger RNA, 385 nt
Filed under: Helicobacter pylori
Lineage: Bacteria; Pseudomonadati; Campylobacterota; Epsilonproteobacteria; Campylobacterales; Helicobacteraceae
Also listed under: 1 other name
Rfam family: transfer-messenger RNA
About the family: Bacterial tmRNA, also known as 10Sa RNA or SsrA, is named for its dual tRNA and mRNA-like properties. Its role is to liberate the mRNA from a stalled ribosome. To accomplish this part of the tmRNA is used as a reading frame that ends in a translation stop signal.
Source: RNAcentral